This 501-nucleotide ribosomal RNA is filed under the name uncultured bacterium. RNAcentral describes it as "bacterial SSU rRNA". It matches the Rfam family "Bacterial small subunit ribosomal RNA", at positions 28 to 523 of the family's 1533-position model. The record is from RNAcentral.
GAUGAACGCUAGCGGGAGGCUUAACACAUGCAAGUCGAGGGGCAUCACGAGGUAGCAAUACUUUGGUGGCGACCGGCGCACGGGUGAGUAACACGUAUGCAACCUUCCCUGUACAGGGGGAUAACCCGGAGAAAUUCGGACUAAUACCCCAUGAUGAUAUUUAUGGGCAUCCAUUGAUAUUUAAAGCUCUGGCGGUACAGGAUGGGCAUGCGCGACAUUAGCUAGUUGGUAAGGUAACGGCUUACCAAGGCUACGAUGUUUAGGGGACCUGAGAGGGUUGUCCCCCACACUGGUACUGAGACACGGACCAGACUCCUACGGGAGGCAGCAGUGAGGAAUAUUGGUCAAUGGGCGCAAGCCUGAACCAGCCAUCCCGCGUGAAGGAAGAAUGCGCUACGCGUUGUAAACUUCUUUUCCAGGGGAGAAUAAUCCUGUCGUGACAGGACUUGACGGUACUCUGGGAAUAAGCAUCGGCUAACUCCGUGCCAGCAGCCGCGGUAA